This 4712-nucleotide unclassified non-coding RNA is filed under the name Patiria miniata (bat star). Its description in RNAcentral is "aBC transporter B family member 1-like, transcript variant X2". The record is from RNAcentral. Lineage: Eukaryota; Metazoa; Echinodermata; Asteroidea; Valvatida; Asterinidae.
AUGGCUAGGACGUACUACACACUGCCCUGGGUUCGCUACACCAACUUCGCCCGACUGUUGGUGUUUCUGGAUGGAUGCGCGUCGGCAGCUCUGUGGCUCACCGGUGGUCAUGAUCCGUAUCUUGAAUCAAGUGUCCUGAAGUGGACUAUUACUGGAUCAGUUUUUGAGCUCGCUUGCAUCGGCAUCAUCAAGAUGCUCCUGCUUUUCCACGCCUUCGCGAAACUAGAAGACUUUGCGUUGGCGAUGCUGGAAGACCCGUAUGUUCCGAGGAUCGUGGCCACAAAACGCAACCUGCACGCGUUCACCAUCGCGCUGUCGCUCGCCAGUUUGGUGUACGCGUCGAUCAAAGGAGGCCUGGUGCUCAACGCCAUUCUCAACCACCCCGAGUACGCACCCAUGCACAUUACCUACAAUGUGUCAGUGAUCAGCGCGGUGGCCUUCUCGUUGGUGGAAUUUGUGACGGCCAUUUUGGGACCAUUGUUCCUGCGCCGGUUACAGAUCAUCCGCAUCAAGCACGAGCUCACCGACGAAGACGAGACGAAAGAGAAGGAGGAAAAGAAAAAGGCAAACCUCGGCCGACUUUUCAGUUUGGCCAAACCGGAAUGGCUCUUGCUUCUGGUUGGCAUGCUCGGUCUGAUUGUCGCCAGUGCAUCGUCUAUGGCUGCUCCAUUAUUCUUUGGAUUUGUUGUCGAUGCUGCUACUCAUAAAUCGAUGUCUGCCGUGAACAGUACCGUACUCGUCCUCUUCCUCAUAUUCGCCGGCGGGUCCAUCGCUUCACUGCUUCGCUCCUGGGCCUUCACUCUUGCCGGUUAUCGCGUUGUGUGUCGCAUCCGUCGCGAUCUGUUCGCGGCAAUCAUCCGCCAGGAGGUGGCGUUCUUUGACAUCAACCGGACCGGCGAGCUGACCAAUCGCUUGUCCUCGGACACUGCGGUUCUGCAAAACGCCGUCACGGUGAAUAUCUCGAUGUUGGUGCGCUACUUGUUCCAAAUCCUCGGGUCCAUCAUCAUCAUGUUCACUCAGAGCGCAGCCUUAACUGGUGUUCUGCUUUCAGUGGUUCCCAUUGUGGCCAUCGGGGCUGUCCAAUACGGAAAUUUCGUGAAGGACAUCCGUAAGAAUUUCCAGGACGCCCUCGGCAGUGCGGGCACGGUCGCAGAGGAGUCCAUCUCCAGCAUACGCACCGUGCGCUCGUUCCGCGGCGAGCCAAAGUCGCAGGCGUCCUACGACAAGGAGGUGGCGCUCAGUUACAAGUACGGCAAAUCGUUGGCCGUGUUGACCGGCGUCUUCAAUGGGCUUAUAGGCAUUAUAUCCCAGGGAGCGAUAGCCCUAGUACUAUGGUACGGUGGCAAGCUUGUGCAUCUGAACGUGACAACCGGAGGCACGCAAGGUAUCAGCGUGGGCAUUCUGACAGCCUUCAUGCUGUACACGCUGAACGUAGCCAUGGCGUUUGCCUUUCUGGCCUCGCUCUAUGGGGAUUUCAUGCAGGCGGUGGGCGCGUCCAUCCGCAUCUUUGCUCUGAUGGACCGCCAGCCGGAAGUCAGCAACGAGGGCGGGCAGCACCUGAUGGAGUUCAACGGGGAACUGGAGUUCGAAGACGUCCAUUUCAAGUAUCCCUCCCGACCGGAAAAUGAAGUACUCAAGGGGGUGUCUUUCGACAUGAAGCCAGGCCAAGUCAUGGCUUUGGUCGGUCCCUCCGGAGGCGGCAAAUCUACGAUAGUCAAUCUCAUCGAGAGAUUUUAUGAACCUACCUCCGGCUCCGUCAAGCUUGAUGGAGUCAGUCUAUCCGAGCUGGAUCCGAUGUUUUUCCGGCGAAAGAUUUCCAUGGUCAGUCAGGAGCCGUCCUUGUUUGCCUGUUCCAUCAAGGACAAUAUUGCUUAUGGGAAGGAUGCAACAGAUGAGGAGAUAGAGCAAGCGGCUAGAAUGGCCAACGCCCAUGACUUCAUUACGUCAUUUGAGGAGGGUUACAAGACCCUGGUAGGGGAAAGAGGAGUUCGUCUGUCGGGAGGCCAGAAACAACGAGUUGCUAUCGCGAGAGCCCUCAUCAUGGAUCCUAAGAUAUUACUCUUGGAUGAGGCUACCAGCGCCUUAGAUGCAGAGAGCGAGCAUCUAGUACAAGAAGCUAUCGAUAGAGCCAUGGUGGGACGGACGGUGCUUAUCAUCGCUCACCGACUAUCCACAGUCAGGAAUGCGUCACAGGUUCUAGUCAUCAACCACGGCAGGAUAGCUGAGAAAGGAACUCACGACGAACUAGUUGGUAAGGGCGGUAUCUACAAGAAACUGGUACUUCGUCAGUUGAGCGCAGCGGGCGGGGCCAUCAACACCAUCCCCGAGGAUCUGAUCCUUGAUGACGAAACCGAUGAGGUCAUCGAGCUGGCGAACGGCUUGGACUGAGAACUGUUGGCCUGGCAACCUGAGACAACCUGAGCUACUUAAGUAUUUUCUUUCACAAGUCCAUCAAGUUAGUCACAAGUCAAUCACAAGUCCUCAUAAUUUCAUCACAGGUCUUCACAAGUCCCUCUCAAGUCUGUCACAAAUCCUCACAAGUUCAAUACAAGUCCUCACCAGUCCAUCAAAAGUCAGUCACAAGUCAUCUGUUAGUGUUGUAGUCAAGUCCAACACAUGUCCUCACAAAUCCAAUACGAGUCUAUCAAAAGUCUAUCGUAAGUCCAACACAAUUCCUCACAAGUUUAUCUCAAGUCAGUCACAAGUCAUAUUUUGAUGUUGUAGUCAAGUCCAACACAAGUCCUCACAAGUCCAUCACAAGUCAGUCCCAAGUCCUCACAAAGUCCAUCACAAGUCCGUCACAAAUCCUCACAAGUCCUUCACAAAUCAUCGUUUAGUGUUGUAGUCAUAUCCAACACGAGUCCUCAAAAGCCCAUCACAAGAUAGUCCCAAUCCAACGCAAGUCCAACAAAAGUCCUCACAAGACUAUCAAAAGUCGGUCACAUGUCAUCUAUUAGUAUUGUAUUCAAGUCCGACAAGUCCUCACAAGUUCAUCACAAGACAGUCACAAUCAAACACAAGUCCUCACAAGUCUAUCACAAGUCCUCAAAAUUCCAACACAAUUCUUCACAAAUCCAACACAAGGCCUCACAAGUCCUCAGAAGUCCAUCUCACAUCAGUCACAAUCCAGCACAGUUCCUCACAAGUCCUCACAAGCCAACACAAGUGAAUCUCAGGUUGUUCAGCUCCAAGUCAAGUCUCCAGCUUCUCAAAUGAAAUUUGACAAAAGGUAUUCCUUAUUGAACUUGUGAAUUGGCAUGAGAUUUAUCGUUCAUUUUAUUAUGCAUUGUACUAUUUCAAUACGUGUAUUUUUACUUUUGAUGGGGUUUCAAGGCAAAAUUGGUGUUUUUAUGUUAAAUGUAUUACCAUAUUCAUAAGCAAGUCAGUGAUGUCAUCUUUGGCAGAAGCCAUGGCCGUACGCUGCUCGAGCAAAGUUGCUAGAAUUUUGUUCAAUUUUUGUCAAUCUUUUUAGUGUUUCCUUUUGUCAAUUCAGAUCAUAAUGAUGGCCAGUGAUUUUGUAAAUUCAAUAGCAAAAUGUUAAAAAAAAGCAACAUCAUUGCCAACGAAAAGCCUAAACGGAUAUAAAAGGAUGUGUCAAAUAUGGCAUCACAGCCCUCGGGUGUCAGAAAGUAGCAUAGAUAUUUGUAAAUUUUUGAAAGAAAGUGAAUUUAGUUAUUAAAUAUUCAAUCAAUGGUAGCAAUGUGCCUGCGAGCUUUCUCUCUGUAUAUUACAAAUUUGUUGAUUAUUAGAAUUUUGUUUUAGUUGUUUUAUACUUUUAUUCUUUUUUUAUUGUAAGGGUUGAAUUGUGCGUAUAAAAAAAAAUCGCCGAGGGGAUAAUUAUGUCAGAAAAGGGGUGUGGCUUAAGGUUUAAAUACGGGGAGGUCAGUCAAACUAUGAAGUGGCCCUCUCAUGCUAUUUUUGAGUUUCACCCUUAAAAAAUAUAUUUUGUUUUUUUAAUUGCCAUUUUUCUAGCGAUACAAAUGUUAUUCAUGUUUGAACGAGACAUCAGAGAAAACAAUGACUACACAAAUUUUUAAUUGUUUCAGGCCUACUUUUUAUAUGUUAUAGGCACAAAAGCAACCCAAAAUAAAAGCGUUGAAAACAUCCAAAACAGACAAAAAGGAGCCUUUUCCGUUUAUAAAUAAAACAUACACGUUGGAAAAUUUGUUUGGAGAGAAAAAUAAAAUUGAAUAUAUGUUUUUUGAAGACCACUGGUAGUGAAACUUCACACACUUAAAAGAAAACGGUGUUGGAUAGAAUUUGCAUCCCAAUAAGUGUGGCCCAACUAUAGUUGGUCUAAGAUAAUGUUGAAGAUAUUUAAAAAGAGACCAGUGACCGAGUAUUUUUUUUUUUUGGCCUUACAUUGAUUACGUUGUGAAGAUUUUAUUGUAAACAUUGUUUAACUAGUAGUUUUCAAAAUAUAUUUUCUUUAAAACUUCAGGUAGAGAUUUUUGUAUUAUGUGUAUUCUUUGGGAUCACCACUACUGUGUCAAAAGGACUAAAUUUAGAAAAUUUAAAUUGUUUGUACAAAUUAAUUUUGGUUGGUAUUAUUUAAAUGCAACUAUAUUAAUUUACAAAAUAUAAUUGUAGGCUGAAAGAAAUUAUGGCACGUUCUUUAAAAGAACAUAUUUUUUUGUAUUAAUUAAGAGGAGCACAUUGUGUUUGAAUAUUUUUUGGAAUAAAUUUCAUUGAAAUGCAGUGUGUGACCCAUA